GAGAGAGAGAGAGAGAGAGAGAAUUUAUUUAUGUUCCCAAAGUUGAGCAAAAGAAAAUUGGUUAAUUAGAGGUUAUGGCUCCCUAAAUCCCACUUAAGUAAGAUUUUACUGUAUUUGGUCCUCACAUAAGACCUUUGAUUAUGUCAUACCCCAUGUUCUAAAACCUUCAUGGAGAAAUAAUAAUGGGAGGUGGUUAAAGAAUGAAGUAUCAUUUACAAAGGGAAAAAUUGGGCACAGCCAAACCAGCUGAUUAAGUACAUGGUGCCUUUUCUUACAGCACAGCCAUAAAAAUGAGAUUAUGCAACAGUGGCUUCCAGAAAGAGGGCAAGGAGUCUCACAGGGAGUCACACGACCCCCCCCUGCCUUCUGAUCACAGUGUUCUGGAAGUCAAAGUUCAAGACAGGGUUCAAGGCUGGCCUUGAACUCCCUAUGUAGCCCAGCCUGGCCUCGAACUCAUGACCAUCCUCCUGCCUCAGCCUCCCGAGUGCUGGGAUUACAGCCCUUGGAUGCAGUCCGGCCUCAUCCUCCCGCUCUGGCUCACUUUGCAUUUAACUUGCUGCCUUGCUGCCUUGCUGCCUUCUACUUGAAGUGUUUCUCCUCUGUGAUGCUGUUCUGCUGUGCUAUCCUGUCUUGGAGCCAGCCAGCUAUAAACUGAAACCUCUGCAAACCGUGAGUCAAAAUAAUCUUUUCCUACUUUUGAUCUCAGCAGUGAGAAAAGUAACUAAGACACUCAACCUCCC
This 740-nucleotide long non-coding RNA is filed under the name Heterocephalus glaber (naked mole-rat). RNAcentral's name for it is "lncRNA (ENSHGLG00000042747.1)". The record is from RNAcentral. Lineage: Eukaryota; Metazoa; Chordata; Mammalia; Rodentia; Bathyergidae.